This is an RNase P RNA of 256 nucleotides. It matches the Rfam family "Archaeal RNase P". Rfam says of the family: Ribonuclease P (RNase P) is a ubiquitous endoribonuclease, found in archaea, bacteria and eukarya as well as chloroplasts and mitochondria.
GCGAGCAGGUUGGGUAGCUUCGGCUUUGCAUCAAAGCAAAGCUGAGGAAGUUCCGUCCACCUUGAGAGGGUGUCGCAAGACUGCCUGAGAAGGCAGCGCCGAUAUCAGAAACGAGACUUUCCAGCCUCGGUAACAAUGAAGUUAAACGGAGUUGAGGCUGAGAAAGAUGAAACGGAUCGGCGCCCCUGUGAGGUGCAAGUUUGAAACGCUUAGACAAAUGCUACCUUGAACAAAAGACGGGCUAUAACCUGCACGC